This 487-nucleotide ribosomal RNA is filed under the name uncultured bacterium. RNAcentral's name for it is "bacterial SSU rRNA". It matches the Rfam family "Bacterial small subunit ribosomal RNA", at positions 30 to 509 of the family's 1533-position model. The record is from RNAcentral.
AUUGAACGCUGGCGGAAUGCUUUACACAUGCAAGUCGAACGGCAGCACGGGGGCAACCCUGGUGGCGAGUGGCGAACGGGUGAGUAAUGCAUCGGAACGUACCCAAUCGUGGGGGAUAACUGGCCGAAAGGUCAGCUAAUACCGCAUACGUCCUGAGGGAGAAAGCAGGGGAUCGCAAGACCUUGCGCGAUUGGAGCGGCCGAUGUCUGAUUAGCUAGUUGGUGGGGUAAGAGCUCACCAAGGCGAUGAUAGAUAGGCGGCCUUAACGGGUGGUCGCCCACACUGGGAUUGAGAUACGGCCCAGACUCCUACGGGAGGCAGCAGUCGAGAAUAGUCUACAAUGGCCGGAAGGCUGAUAGUGCGACGCCGCGUGAACGAGGGAGCCCUUCGGGUGUAAAGUUCUUUCUAUACGAGCAGUGCUAUAUAUAUGGAUAGUAUAUAUAGAGGGAUAGUAGUAUAGGAAUAAGACAACGGCUAACUCCGUGCC